This is a long non-coding RNA of Acinonyx jubatus (cheetah), 1919 nucleotides long. RefSeq lists it as uncharacterized. Lineage: Eukaryota; Metazoa; Chordata; Mammalia; Carnivora; Felidae. The record is from RefSeq and is a predicted model, not a curated record. The transcript has 5 exons.
AGGCAGGUGCCUUGUUGGCCCGCUUGGUCCCCACCUGCUCCUGGCCAAAGCACCAGGACACCACAGCAGGCCAAACACCUCUUCUAAAUUUUUUUUUAAUGUUUAUUUAUUUUUGAAGGAGAGAGAGACAGAGCGUGAGCGGGGGAGCAGUGGAGAGAGAGGGAGACACAGAAUCCGAAGCAGGCUCCAGGCUCUGAGCUAUCCGCACAGAGCCCAGCUGGGGAUUCAAACCCACAAGCCGUGAGAUCAUGACCUGAGCUGAAGUUGGACGCUUAACUGACUGAGCCAGCCAGGCGCCCCAGGCCAAACAUCUCUUCUAAUAUGUGUUGAUUUUGGGGUGGUUUGAAACUUCAGAUCUCCAGGUAAAAUUCGAAACCAGACUCUGCACAGGGAGGGCACGGGGAAGGAAGAAAGAGGCAGGCCACUCCAGAUCAGUAGGUGAUGGGUUUAAAUAGCAGGGGAACUUAGGAGGCAGGCAGGGGAUCAUCCCAGGUGCCAAGAGCGUAGAUCUCUGCACCUGCCAGCCAGAAUCUUAGCAGUUUACACGGAGGCCUUAACGGGGUUCAGUCAUGGUACCCGCCAGCACCUCCCUCCCUCCAGCUGCAUCCUUGAGUGGCUCCUAGUGUGGCAAUGGUGGGCUGAGUGUGUAUUUCAAGGACAGAGGAGGGGGUAAGAACCUCUGAUUGCUCGAGGGUCAACCGGAAGUCGUGUCCUCCGGAUGACCUCUUCCGACAACGCCUGCGCCUGCGUGGGAAGCCGGCAGCCUGCAGGAUUAGCUUCAUUUCCUCCAGGGCUUUCCCUCUGGCCUCCAGCUCUGGCUCCAGGCUGCUCUCUCGUGGACAGGGCUAACCCCGGCACAAAGUGCAGUCUUUUGGCGGAAUCUGCCCUCAGGCCCUCCAGGACCUCCGGGUUCACGGAGCUGGACAAAGCCAACCUCCGCGCCCGGCCCCCACGCGGAAACUUCUUGCCAGGAAAGAUCAACUGGUUUUCCCAAGCCUGGCUCUGACCUUGUGGACAGGAAGCACCUUGAAACAGUCUCUGCAGAAGGAUCACCACAACAGAGGCAGAAACCGGGAUCACUUUUUUGCUUGGAGGAAAUCUGUACGAAUGGGCAGUCCCUAAUAUUACCACGUCACAGAAUGGCAGGACUGGAAGGGAGCUCUGAGGUCAACCUGUCCAGCUCCUUCGUGGUGCAGAUGGGGAAACUGAGGACCAGGUGAGAGAAAUUAUGAAGGAGAGAGAAACCUAAGAAAACAAGCAACCUGUCAUUGUUCUUACACUUCACCUUCUUUGGAAUGGGUGCCUGACCUCACUGGAAACUCACAAGAAUUUGCCGAUACGACACUCCACCCUUUUCAAAGAUUCAGCGAGCUCCCAGAACACGCAAGUCUUCCUCAACUGGACAGUGUGAGUUUCUUCCCAAGGCUUCACGUCCAUUGCAGAGCCCAACAUGGGGCUUGAACUCAGGACCCUGAGAUUGAGACCUGACCUGAGAUCAAGAGUCAGGCGUUUAACCUCCUGAGCCACCCAGGUGCCCCUAUUUUCUUCCUUUUUUAGUAUAUCUAUGCCAUUUCCAAACUGUAUAUAAUGAAAAAUAUAACAGUUAUAACCAGAUAAAAACGCUGGUAAGAUUUAUCAGGUGCCAAAUCUGAGUCUAUUGCAGAUGUUCAUUUAAGGACCAUCAUCUCAUUUAGCGUUAUAACUACUUUCAAGGUAGGUAUAUCAUGCCCAUUUCACAGAUGAGAACACUGAGGUGGAUCCUCUUCAUCCUCCAUGUCUUAUCUUAGACAGUGUUUCCUCUAAGAAGCCCUCCUUGACCUUCUGAGUCUGGUUAAAUUUUUUUGAGUUCCCAUUGUUCCCAUUGUCUUUCUGGGCGUUUGGGGGGAUUUUUUGGUGGCGGAGGGGGUUGGUGCAGGCAG